UAAAUGGCUGACUUUGACAUGUGUUGGUUAAAAGUUUUUUUCAGUGUCAUACCUUGUCCUCCACGCCCUUAGCCUGUAAAGGUGAUUUGCAGAAUGACCUUUCCAUUGUGCUUUCCUUCCACAGAUAAGCUCUUCUUAACCAAACUGAACUAUCUGAACCACUCAUGUUUCUGUCUGUAUUCUGUUGCUCAUGACCAUUUUGGAUCUGCUCUGAUACUGUUCUACGGUUUUCAUGUUUGGCCAUUUUGCAGUUUCUGUGCAGUUGGUUCGGUUCAGUAGUGUGACAGAAGCGUAGUCUUAUUCAGUUUAACCUUUUGGCCCAAAGGUGUGAGAUUAGUUUGACGUAUAAGGAACAAGAGCUUUUGGAGAAUUUGCUGAAAGAAAAAACAGUUUGGCAACCAUCUAAAAGCUUUAAUAAUGUUUUUGAUUGGUGACAGUUUUUAGAAGCUCUGUAUUUGUUUGCUGUGCUAUGUGACUUAAUUGGGUAGUCCAAAUCAGCCCUGAACUGAGGCCCGUUUAGCCCAAGUCUUGCAAUUCCAGUAGCCCUGAGCUGUCGGAUGGUGUGCAUUUGCAGCUGAUACCAAGGUGUGUCUUUACCUUGGCCCACGCCAGUCACUCCAAAUCAGAGCCUAGUUUUCUUUACAAAAACACAGGAUUAGGAUCAAGGUUAGAACUAAAUGAAUCUUCAUGGUCAGAAUCUCAACAAAUCAUAUGAUUUGAGUCUUCUGAAGGUGUGAAUCCUUAGACUAGGGCUAAAAGCUCUGCAGUGACAGUUUGACCACAGGUUAUGAUGGUUGUUAUGUGGCCUUCCUUCCAGGCUGUAAGGAACCAUGGACACAGAGAUAGCAGUGCCAAGAUACUGAUACUAAAAGAAGGAGGACGGAUGGAAGAUGGAUGUUCGACUGUUCCCGUAGCGACAGUAUUGUUUUUUGUUUGCACAUAGCUUUGCUUUGUUUGUUUGUUUUGGCAGAAGAAUUGAGAGAACAGUUUUAAGGUGGUUUUAACCACAUUACUGUUUUAAGACCAAGAAAACAGAUGAGGCACUGUACAGCUGAUGAAAAAUAAAAUCCUCCUAACGGGUCCA
Long non-coding RNA from Micropterus salmoides (largemouth bass), 1084 nucleotides. RefSeq lists it as uncharacterized. NCBI's taxonomy places the organism in Eukaryota, Metazoa, Chordata, Actinopteri, Centrarchiformes, Centrarchidae. The record is from RefSeq and is a predicted model, not a curated record. The transcript is spliced from 2 exons.